CGGAACGUGCCGAGUAAUGGGGGAUAACGCAGCGAAAGUUGUGCUAAUACCGCAUACGCCCUGAGGGGGAAAGUGGGGGAUCGCAAGACCUCACGUUAUUCGAGCGGCCGACGUCUGAUUAGCUAGUUGGUGGGGUAAAGGCCUACCAAGGCGACGAUCAGUAGCGGGUCUGAGAGGAUGAUCCGCCACACUGGGACUGAGACACGGCCCAGACUCCUACGGGAGGCAGCAGUGGGGAAUUUUGGACAAUGGGGGCAACCCUGAUCCAGCCAUUCCGCGUGAGUGAAGAAGGCCUUCGGGUUGUAAAGCUCUUUCAGCUGGAGUGAAACGGUGCGCUCUAACAUAGCGCGCUAAUGACGGUACCAGCAGAAGAAGCACCGGCUAACUACGUGCCAGCAGCCGCGGUAAUACGUAGGGUGCGAGCGUUAAUCGGAAUUACUGGGCGUAAAGCGUGCGCAGGCGGAUUGUUAAGCAAGAUGUGAAAUCCCCGGGCUUAACCUGGGAAUGGCAUCUUGAACUGGCAGUCUAGAGUGCGUCAGAGGGGGGUGGAAUUCCACGUGUAGCAGUGAAAUGCGUAGAGAUGUGGAGGAACACCGAUGGCGAAGGCAGCCCCCUGGGAUGACACUGACGCUCAUGUACGAAAGCGUGGGUAGCAAACAGGAUUAGAUAUCCUGGUAGUCCACGCCCUAAACGAUGUCAACUGGUUGUUGGGGGAGUGAAAUCCCUUAGUAACGAAG
This 737-nucleotide ribosomal RNA is filed under the name uncultured Thiobacillus sp. Its description in RNAcentral is "bacterial SSU rRNA". It matches the Rfam family "Bacterial small subunit ribosomal RNA", at positions 119 to 851 of the family's 1533-position model. The record is from RNAcentral. Lineage: Bacteria; Pseudomonadati; Pseudomonadota; Betaproteobacteria; Nitrosomonadales; Thiobacillaceae.